GGGUGUUUGGCCGAGCGGUCUAAGGCGCUACGUUCAGGUCGUAGUCUCGCAAGAGGCGUGGGUUCGAACCCCACAGCACCCA
Molecule: transfer RNA, 82 nt
Filed under: Blyttiomyces helicus
Lineage: Eukaryota; Fungi; Chytridiomycota; Chytridiomycetes
Rfam family: tRNA
About the family: Transfer RNA (tRNA) molecules are approximately 80 nucleotides in length. Their secondary structure includes four short double-helical elements and three loops (D, anti-codon, and T loops). Further hydrogen bonds mediate the characteristic L-shaped molecular structure. tRNAs have two regions of fundamental functional importance: the anti-codon, which is responsible for specific mRNA codon recognition, and the 3' end, to which the tRNAs corresponding amino acid is attached (by aminoacyl-tRNA synthetases). tRNAs cope with the degeneracy of the genetic code in two manners: having more than one tRNA (with a specific anti-codon) for a particular amino acid; and 'wobble' base-pairing, i.e. permitting non-standard base-pairing at the 3rd anti-codon position.
Source: Rfam by way of RNAcentral